CAGGACGAACGGCUGGCGGCGUGCCUAACACAUGCAAGUCGAGCGAGGAGAUUCCUUCGGGAUGAUCCUAGCGGCGGACGGGUGAGUAACACGUGGGCAACCUGCCUCAUAGAGAGGAAUAGCCUUCCGAAAGGGAGAUUAAUACCUCAUAACAUUGCAGUUUCGCAUGGAACAGCAAUUAAAGGAGUAAUCCGCUAUGAGAUGGGCCCGCGGCGCAUUAGCUAGUUGGUGAGGUAACGGCUCACCAAGGCGACGAUGCGUAGCCGACCUGAGAGGGUGAUCGGCCACAUUGGGACUGAGACACGGCCCAGACUCCUACGGGAGGCAGCAGUGGGGAAUAUUGCACAAUGGGGGAAACCCUGAUGCCAGCAACGCCGCGUGAGUGAUGACGGCCUUCGGGUUGUAAAGCUCUGUCUUCAGGGACGAUAAUGACGGUACCUGAGGAGGAAGCCACGGCUAACUACGUGCCAGCCGCCGC
This 478-nucleotide ribosomal RNA is filed under the name uncultured bacterium. RNAcentral's name for it is "bacterial SSU rRNA". It matches the Rfam family "Bacterial small subunit ribosomal RNA", at positions 25 to 518 of the family's 1533-position model. The record is from RNAcentral.